This 393-nucleotide ribosomal RNA is filed under the name Klebsiella pneumoniae. Its description in RNAcentral is "bacterial SSU rRNA". It matches the Rfam family "Bacterial small subunit ribosomal RNA", at positions 338 to 723 of the family's 1533-position model. Lineage: Bacteria; Pseudomonadati; Pseudomonadota; Gammaproteobacteria; Enterobacterales; Enterobacteriaceae. The record is from RNAcentral.
CCUACGGGUGGCUGCAGUGGGGAAUCUUCCGCAAUGGACGAAAGUCUGACGGAGCAACGCCGCGUGAGUGAUGAAGGAUUUCGGUCUGUAAAGCUCUGUUGUUUAUGACGAACGUGCAGUGUGUGAACAAUGCAUUGCAAUGACGGUAGUAAACGAGGAAGCCACGGCUAACUACGUGCCAGCAGCCGCGGUAAUACGUAGGUGGCGAGCGUUGUCCGGAAUUAUUGGGCGUAAAGAGCAUGUAGGCGGCUUAAUAAGUCGAGCGUGAAAAUGCGGGGCUCAACCCCGUAUGGCGCUGGAAACUGUUAGGCUUGAGUGCAGGAGAGGAAAGGGGAAUUCCCGGUGUAGCGGUGAAAUGCGUAGAUAUUGGGAGGAACACCAGUGGCGAAGGCG